Molecule: ribosomal RNA, 844 nt
Filed under: uncultured bacterium
Lineage: Bacteria
Description: bacterial SSU rRNA
Rfam family: Bacterial small subunit ribosomal RNA
Source: RNAcentral
GGCUCAGCCUGAACGCUGGCGGCGUGGCUAAGACAUGCAAGUCGUACGGGCCUAGCAAUAGGCCAGUGGCGGACGGGUGAGUAAUGUAUCGCUAACGUGCCCUAAAGACGGGGAUAGCCGGCCGAAAGGCCGGGUAAUACCCGGUAAGACCCCGGGAUCGCAUGAUCCUGGGCUCAAAGGCCGCAAGGCGCUUUGGGAGCGGGCGAUAUCGUAUCAGCUAGUUGGUAGGGUAACGGCCUACCAAGGCAUCGACGCGUAGCCGGACUGAGAGGUUGGCCGGCCACAUUGGGACUGAGACACUGCCCAGACUCCUACGGGGGGCUGCAGUAACGAAUCUUCCGCAAUGCACGAAAGUGUGACGGAGCGACGCCGCGUGUAGGAUGAAGUCCUUCGGGAUGUAAACUACUGUCAGGGGAAAGAAAGUACUGAUCUACCCCAGAGGAAGGCACGGCUAACUCUGUGCCAGCAGCCGCGGUAAGACAGAGGUGCCAAGCGUUAGGCGGAAUCACUGGGCUUAAAGCGUGUGUAGGCGGAUGCCUAAGUACCUUGUGAAAUCCCCCGGCUCAACCGGGGCAUGGCUGGGUAUACUGGGCGUCUUGAGCCACUUAGGGGCAACCGGAACGAACGGUGGAGCGGUGAAAUGCGUAGAUAUCGUUCGGAACGCCAAAGGUGAAAACAGGUUGCUGGGAGUGAGCUGACGCUGAGACACGAAAGCCAGGGGAGCAAACGGGAUUAGAUACCCCGGUAGUCCUGGCCGUAAACGAUGUCCACUAGAUCGCAGUCGCUCUGACGUGAUUGUGGUCGAAGCCAAAGUGCUAAGUGGACCGCCUGGGAAGUACGGUCG